RNAcentral lists this ribosomal RNA (1074 nucleotides) under Draculoides sp. SCH037. Its description in RNAcentral is "partial large subunit ribosomal RNA". It matches the Rfam family "Eukaryotic large subunit ribosomal RNA", at positions 76 to 877 of the family's 3401-position model. RNAcentral also lists the same sequence under 2 other names. Lineage: Eukaryota; Metazoa; Arthropoda; Arachnida; Schizomida; Hubbardiidae. The record is from RNAcentral.
UCCCUUAGUAGCGGCGAGCGAACAGGGAAGAGCCCAGCGCCGAAUUCCGCGUCUCAAAGGGCGUUUGGAACAUGUGGCGUUUAGGAGGAAUCUCUCCGAGGGCAGACGGUGUCGCAAGUCCCCCUGAACGGGGCUGUGAUCCAGAGCGGGUGCGAGGCCCAUAGCUGGUACCGUCUCCUUUGGGUGUCCCCUCCUUGGAGUCGGGUUGCUUGGGAGUGCAGCCCUAAUUGGGUGGUAAACUCCACCUAAGGCUAAAUACGUCCGUGAGACCGAUAGCAAACAAGUACCGUGAGGGAAAGUUGCAAAGAACUUUGAAGAGAGAGUUCAAGAGUACGUGAAACCGCUCAGAGGCAAACGGGUGGGCCCACGAAAGCCGAAGGCGGGGGGAUUCAGUCGAGAGGACGGUGGGGCAGGACUGGCUGGUUGGACGGACCGUGCCAGGCCGGGUCAGUUCCCGAGAUCUGCCGCCUUUCGACGCAUUUCCCCCUGCUUAGUAGGACGCCGCAACCGGUUGGCGCUGCAGCCAUAAGGGAGAGUAAAUGGAAGGUAGCCAGUGAGUUCUUCUUCGGAGGCGCGAGCUGGUCCUAAGCCGACUCUCCUGGUGCUUGUGGCCCGACCGUGGUCGUGAGUCCCUCAACGGGAUGUCGCCGAGCCCUCUGACUGGAGCGGGAGAAAUGGCAGGCUGCUUUCCGCGGAAAAAAUCGAUCGCUUCACGCGUGCAGUGGGCGAUCUCCGGAUGUAGCUGCUGGUGCAUUUUUCUCCUGCGCUGGGCACAGGCAGUUGGCGGCGAGUAGGUCGGUCACCCACCCGACCCGUCUUGAAACACGGACCAAGGAGUCUAACAUGUGCGCGAGUCAUUGGGUCUUGAACAAGCCCAAAGGCGCAAUGAAAGUGAAGACCAGCACUGAAGCUGGUGGAGUUGGGAAACUGCGUCACUGAAGAUGCAGUUGCACCAACGGCCCGUCCCGUCCGCAUCGUCGGUGGGGCGGAGCGAGAGCGUACACGUUGGGACCCGAAAGAUGGUGAACUAUGCCUGGGCAGGACGAAGCCAGAGGAAACUCUGGUGGAGGUCCG